UUUUUUCUUUUUUCUUUUUUCUUUAGAGACCCAGAUUGGCCUCAGUUUGAAAUACAAGCUUAACUAAUUAAUCAGUUUGGAUUCCAGGUCGAUAUCUGCAUUACCCGAUCUAAUCUGAACCAUGUGAAUUCUAUAAAUAUUUAAAUUAAUUUAUAAUUUUAUAUAGAAAAGUAAUGGCAUUUUAGUUAUAUAAAAAUAUAAAUAUGCCUUUGGUACAUAGUUAUUAAAGGCGGGCCUUAGGCUCAAGGCUCACCAAGUUCGAACCCUAGCACCAUAUGCACCUAGGUGUGCGCCUUUAUUCUAGGCACAGUGUUCUAGAAAGGCAUACCUUUUUUAUUUUCAUCUUUAGCGAACACUUUCAUUGGCAAAAAGGACAAUCACUUAAACUCA
RNAcentral lists this unclassified non-coding RNA (390 nucleotides) under Hevea brasiliensis (rubber tree). The record is from RNAcentral. Lineage: Eukaryota; Viridiplantae; Streptophyta; Magnoliopsida; Malpighiales; Euphorbiaceae.